This 252-nucleotide ribosomal RNA is filed under the name uncultured bacterium. Its description in RNAcentral is "partial 16S ribosomal RNA". It matches the Rfam family "Bacterial small subunit ribosomal RNA", at positions 524 to 776 of the family's 1533-position model. The record is from RNAcentral.
UACGUAGGUGGCGAGCGUUGUCCGGAAUUAUUGGGCGUAAAGCGCGCGUAGGCGGGAAAGUAAGUCCACUUUAAAAGUGCGGGGCUCAACCCCGUGAUGGGGUGGAAACUGCUUUUCUUGAGUGCCGGAGAGGAAAGCGGAAUUCCCAGUGUAGCGGUGAAAUGCGUAGAUAUUGGGAGGAACACCAGUGGCGAAGGCGGCUUUCUGGACGGUGUCUGACGCUGAGGCGCGAAAGCCAGGGGAGCGAACGGG